This 186-nucleotide ribosomal RNA is filed under the name uncultured bacterium. RNAcentral describes it as "partial 16S ribosomal RNA". It matches the Rfam family "Bacterial small subunit ribosomal RNA", at positions 1314 to 1500 of the family's 1533-position model. The record is from RNAcentral.
GACUACACGAAGCCGGAAUCGCUAGUAAUCGCGAAUCAGAAUGUCGCGGUGAAUACGUUCCCGGGUCUUGUACACACCGCCCGUCACACCAUGGGAGUCGGAAAUGCCCGAAGUCAGUGACCUAACCGAAAGGGAGGAGCUGCCGAAGGUGGAGCCGGUAACUGGGUGAAGUCGUAACAAGGUAUC